CAAGAGUGGCCCAGUGGUUUGUCCGUCAUUUGGGUAAGGCUCUGGGGUUUAGCUAGGUUUUCUCCCUAGUUCGAGUCCCAGCAGUUACAACACCUGGUGGCCAGCGGCAGACUCAGUUCUGUGAGUGGGAAUUAAUCGAGGUGUGCGCAAGCUGGCCCUGACAUCUCAUGGUACUUACCAAAAAAAAAAUUGCCAAAAAUUUUCAUCAACUGCAUAGUGGAGUAGGACCACGCAAAAACUCCAAUGUAACACUUUUACAACAUUUAUACAAAUAUUCCAAUAGAGCCAUAAUAUAGUAUCAAUUUUCAUUAUUCAAUUCCUACAUAGAGCCAUAACCACAUUUACCAAGCCUUAAUAUAGUAUCAUCCACUAACAGAAAGCACAAUAGUACAUAUAUAAAAGUCAUUGACACAAUCCUCAUUUUUUCGAACAGACCCAACUAUUCCAACAGACAAACCCAUAUCCCCAAAUUUUCGAACAGAC
Molecule: long non-coding RNA, 483 nt
Filed under: Prunus persica (peach)
Lineage: Eukaryota; Viridiplantae; Streptophyta; Magnoliopsida; Rosales; Rosaceae
Description: long non-coding RNA (PPER_LNC000956)
Source: RNAcentral